AGUGAACGCUGGCGGUAGGCCUAACACAUGCAAGUCGAACGGCAGCACAGUAAGAGCUUGCUCUUACGGGUGGCGAGUGGCGGACGGGUGAGGAAUAAAUCGGAAUCUACUUUUUCGUGGGGGAUAACGUAGGGAAACUUACGCUAAUACCGCAUAAGACCUACGGGUGAAAGCAGGGGAUCUUCGGACCUUGCGCGAUUGAAUGAGCCGAUGUCGGAUUAGCUAGUUGGCGGGGUAAAGGCCCACCAAGGCGACGAUCCGUAGCUGGUCUGAGAGGAUGAUCAGCCACACUGGAACUGAGACACGGUCCAGACUCCUACGGGAGGCAGCAGUGGGGAAUAUUGGACAAUGGGCGCAAGCCUGAUCCAGCCAUACCGCGUGGGUGAAGAAGGCCUUCGGGUUGUAAAGCCCUUUUGUUGGGAAAGAAAAGCAGCAGGUUAAUACCCCGCUGUUCUGACGGUACCCAAAGAAUAAGCACCGGCUAACUUCGUG
This 492-nucleotide ribosomal RNA is filed under the name uncultured bacterium. Its description in RNAcentral is "partial 16S ribosomal RNA". It matches the Rfam family "Bacterial small subunit ribosomal RNA", at positions 29 to 507 of the family's 1533-position model. The record is from RNAcentral.